GAUCAGGAGCAUCAAAGGAUGUGAAAAAGAGCUCAGACCUUCUCCGUGCUGUCCUGCACACCUGCAGAGCCUUUCACUCAGCCAGCGAUGUGUGGUUCAGCAUGUACAUUCUCAGCUGCACACCACAUGGGCAAUAUUGUGUCCUUCUCCAGGUAUCACAACCACAGGGGCUGAUCAGUUCCCCGGCCCAGGCCCGCCAAGUCGG
Choloepus didactylus (southern two-toed sloth) is the source of this 205-nucleotide long non-coding RNA. RefSeq lists it as uncharacterized. The transcript has 3 exons. The record is from RefSeq and is a predicted model, not a curated record. NCBI's taxonomy places the organism in Eukaryota, Metazoa, Chordata, Mammalia, Pilosa, Megalonychidae.